GACGAACGCUGGCGGCGUGCUUAACACAUGCAAGUCGAACGAGAAAGCCCUUCGGGGUAAGUACAGUGGCGAACGGGUGAGUAACACGUGGGCAACCUGCCCCAGAGAGCGGGACAACCCGGGGAAACCCGGGCUAAUACCGCAUGAUGCGUCUCCACUUAAGUGGAGCCGCCAAAUGGUAGCUUCGGCCUCCGCUCUGGGAUGGGCCCGCGCCGGAUUAGCUAGUUGGUUGGGGUAACGGCCCACCAAGGCGACGAUCCGUAGCUGGUCUGAGAGGACGAUAAGCCACACUGGGACUGAGACACGGCCCAGACUCCUACGGGAGGCAGCAGUGGGGAAUCUUGCGCAAUGGGCGAAAGCCUGACGCAGCAACGCCGCGUGGGGGAAGAAGGCCUUCGGGUUGUAAACCUCUUUCAGUAGGGACGAAGCUUCCGGGGUUAAUAGCCUACGGGGUGACGGUACCUACAGAAGAAGCCCCGGCUAACUACGUGCCAGCCGCCGCGGUAA
Molecule: ribosomal RNA, 507 nt
Filed under: uncultured bacterium
Lineage: Bacteria
Description: partial 16S ribosomal RNA
Rfam family: Bacterial small subunit ribosomal RNA
Source: RNAcentral